ACCUUACCAGGUCUUGACAUCGAGUGACGGACAUAGAGAUAUGUCUUUCCUUCGGGACACGAAGACAGGUGGUGCAUGGUUGUCGUCAGCUCGUGUCGUGAGAUGUUGGGUUAAGUCCCGCAACGAGCGCAACCCUUACCAUUAGUUGCUACGCAAGAGCACUCUAAUGGGACUGCCGUUGACAAAACGGAGGAAGGUGGGGAUGACGUCAAAUCAUCAUGCCCCUUAUGACCUGGGCGACACACGUACUACAAUGGCGGUCAACAGAGGGAGGCAAAGCCGCGAGGCAGAGCAAACCCCUAAAAGCCGUCUCAGUUCGGAUUGCAGGCUGCAACUCGCCUGCAUGAAGUCGGAAUUGCUAGUAAUCGCGGAUCAGCAUGCCGCGGUGAAUACGUUCCCGGGCCUUGUACACACCGCCCGUCACACCAUGAGAGCCGGUAACACCCGAAGUCAAUAGUCUAACCGCAAGGAGGACAUUGCCGAAGGUGGGAUUGGUAAUUGGGGUGAAGUCGUAACAAGGUAGCCGUAUCGGAAGGUGCGGUUGGAUCACCUC
Molecule: ribosomal RNA, 553 nt
Filed under: uncultured bacterium
Lineage: Bacteria
Description: bacterial SSU rRNA
Rfam family: Bacterial small subunit ribosomal RNA
Source: RNAcentral